AUUGAACGCUGGCGGCAUGCCUUACACAUGCAAGUCGAACGGCAGCACGGGAGCAAUCCUGGUGGCGAGUGGCGAACGGGUGAGUAAUACAUCGGAACGUGCCCAGUAGUGGGGGAUAACCCGGCGAAAGCCGGACUAAUACCGCAUACGACCUACGGGUGAAAGCAGGGGAGUCGCAAGACCUUGCGCUAUCGGAGCGGCCGAUGUCAGAUUAGCUAGUUGGCGGGGUAAAAGGACCCACCAAGGCGACGAUCUGUAGCUGGUCUGAGAGGACGACCAGCCACACUGGGACUGAGACACGGCCCAGACUCCUACGGGAGGCAGCAGUGGGGAAUUUUGGACAAUGGGCGCAAGCCUGAUCCAGCCAUGCCGCGUG
RNAcentral lists this ribosomal RNA (376 nucleotides) under uncultured bacterium. RNAcentral describes it as "bacterial SSU rRNA". It matches the Rfam family "Bacterial small subunit ribosomal RNA", at positions 29 to 403 of the family's 1533-position model. The record is from RNAcentral.